AAUGACACGAUCACUCCCGCUGAGCGAGCAGCCAGGAGCCACCGGGAAUGUCGUGUCCGCCC
Molecule: microRNA precursor, 62 nt
Filed under: Sphenodon punctatus (tuatara)
Lineage: Eukaryota; Metazoa; Chordata; Lepidosauria; Sphenodontia; Sphenodontidae
Description: Spt-Mir-425_pre stem-loop
Rfam family: mir-425 microRNA precursor family
Source: RNAcentral